GGGGGGGGGGGGGGGGGGGGGGGGUAUAAUCCCUGAGUCUCAGAGGAGAAUUAUAGAGAAAUAAAAGCUACAGAGCCACUGAGGCUGUGCAGAAAGAGCCAGUCAAUCACUACAAUGCAGCUCCUCUGGCCUUUGUAUGUGUCAGACCCAACACGCUCAAUAAAAGAGGGGCUCAGAAGCCCACAGUCAUAAAUGCACUAUCGCAAACUAGACACCAGGCUCCUGGAAAACUAUCGCUCACCUUCUACCAGGUCACCAGGCUCAGGGACGAGUCACGUCACACGACUUUAGAGCAGAGCAGCGACGGCUGAUGUCACCGACAGAGAGGCCGCUCACACCUGAUACCAGUCAGGGGUCUUUUCACAGAGUGGACGUUAAUGGGAUAUAAUUAUCUAAUAGUUAAAUGAAGAAAACACAAACAAAUAAAUGCUUUUAAAUAAUUGAGCUGAAAGUCGUAGGAGGAGAAUCCAACCUGACGACGAGCAGAGAAGAUUUUAAUCGGCUCAAAGGGAAACUUUGAAUGAAUGUCGUUCAAACCAGCAGUCGAGAAAAUGACGAUUUUAGGAAACUUGAGACUUGUGCCCAAUUCUGAAUUCACAGAAUGAUAAUGAGAGACGCCAGUAAAGCGUCAGCGCUGCAGUUGAGCAGACUCAGCACAGAACCAGCGUCCCAUGACCGGAGCCCACAUCCAGCAACAAAGAGCUGAAUGAGGCCACAGCUGCAGCGCCGACGAGACGAGACGCGGCCCGUUCUGCUGCGCUGGGAGCCGUUAGCACCAGCAGCUAAACACAACCGGAACCAGGACCAGAACCAGAACCAGGACGAGACACGGCCCGUUCUGCUGCGCUGGGAGCCGUUAGCACUAGCAGCUAAACACAACCGGAACCAGAACCAGCACAGGCUGGUUUCUCCACAUUCUAGUUACUGGCUACAAACCUCAGUUAGUUUAAGACUGAAUAUUUUAUGACACUUGUAAUAAUUUAAUUUAAAAAUCUUUUAUUCACUUUCCGUCAACGUCUGCUUAGUGUCACGUCAUCAUCCAUCAACGCUCAGAACGAAACCUAAUUACUCCGUCAUGAGUUCACUCACGACCGAAUCAACAGAGGAUGAAACGCAGUGAGAAGCGUCUGCUCAUAUUUGCAGCGUGUGCUAAUAAUUCAUGUGGUUUCGCUGUAGAAACUGAGAGUAACGCUUCCCUUUUACUGCACUUUGCCAUAAUGUAUGAGUAAAGCGACGAUGGUGAAACUGCGUGUGUCCUCACCACUUCAUCGUUUUAGUAGCUGACUGACUGCACACACACACACACACACACACACACAAAAACGCAGACACACACACACACACACGCAGACACACACACACACACACACACACACAAACGCAGACACAAACGCAGACACACACACACACACACACACACACACGCAGACACACACACACACACGCAGACACACACACAAACGCAGACACACACUCACACACACACGCAGACACACACACACAAACGCAGACACAAACGCAGACACACACACACACACACACACGCAGACACACACACACACACACACACACGCGCACACACACACGCAGACACACACACAAACGCAGACACACACACACACACACACACGCAGACACACACACACACGCAGACACACACACACACGCAGACACACACACACGCAGACACACACACACGCAGACACAC
Long non-coding RNA from Betta splendens (Siamese fighting fish), 1708 nucleotides. RefSeq lists it as uncharacterized. The record is from RefSeq and is a predicted model, not a curated record. The transcript is spliced from 3 exons. Lineage: Eukaryota; Metazoa; Chordata; Actinopteri; Anabantiformes; Osphronemidae.